Molecule: ribosomal RNA, 497 nt
Filed under: uncultured bacterium
Lineage: Bacteria
Description: partial 16S ribosomal RNA
Rfam family: Bacterial small subunit ribosomal RNA
Source: RNAcentral
GAUGAACGCUGGCGGCGUGCCUAAUACAUGCAAGUAGAACGCUGAAGCUUGGUGCUUGCACCGAGCGGAUGGGUUGCGAACGGGUGAGUAACGCGUAGGUAACCUGCCUCUUAGCGGGGGAUAACUAUUGGAAACGAUAGCUAAUACCGCAUAAAAGUCGAUAUCGCAUGAUAUUGAUUUGAAAGGUGCAAAUGCAUCACUAAGAGAUGGACCUGCGUUGUAUUAGCUAGUUGGUGAGGUAACGGCUCACCAAGGCGACGAUACAUAGCCGACCUGAGAGGGUGAUCGGCCACACUGGGACUGAGACACGGCCCAGACUCCUACGGGAGGCAGCAGUAGGGAAUCUUCGGCAAUGGGGGCAACCCUGACCGAGCAACGCCGCGUGAGUGAAGAAGGUUUUCGGAUCGUAAAGCUCUGUUGUAAGAGAAGAACGAGUGUGAGAGUGGAAAGUUCACACUGUGACGGUAACUUACCAGAAAGGGACGGCUAACUACGUG